CAGUCGAACGAGCGACCCGGGCUUGCCCGGUUAGCUAGUGGCGGACGGCUGAGUAACACGUAAGUAAUCUGCCCCGAAGAGGGGGAUAAUCCAGAGAAAUCUGGCCUAAUACCCCGUACCUUCCUCUCCAGCCUGCUGGAUUGGAAGAAAGGCCUAGGCCGCUUUGGGAGGAGCUUGCGGCUUGUCAGGUAGUUGGUGGGGUAAUGGCCUACCAAGCCGAAGACGAGUAACCGGUGUGAGAGCACGAUCGGUCAGAGGGGGACUGAGACACGGCCCAGACUCCUACGGGAGGCAGCAGUGGGGAAUAUUGCACAAUGGGGGAAACCCUGAUGCAGCCAUGCCGCGUGUGUGAAGAAGGCCUUCGGGUUGUAAAGCACUUUCAGUUGUGAGGAAAAGUUAGUAGUUAAUACCUGCUAGCCGUGACGUUAACAACAGAAGAAGCACCGGCUAACUCCGUGCCAGCAGCCGCGGUAAUACGGAGGGUGCGAGCGUUAAUCGGAAUUACUGGGCGUAAAGCGCACGCAGGCGGUUUGUUAAGCUAGAUGUGAAAGCCCCGGGCUCAACCUGGGAUGGUCAUUUAGAACUGGCAGACUAGAGUCUUGGAGAGGGGAGUGGAAUUCCAGGUGUAGCGGUGAAAUGCGUAGAUAUCUGGAGGAACAUCAGUGGCGAAGGCGACUCCCUGGCCAAAGACUGACGCUCAUGUGCGAAAGUGUGGGUAGCGAACAGGAUUA
Molecule: ribosomal RNA, 731 nt
Filed under: uncultured Alteromonadaceae bacterium
Lineage: Bacteria; Pseudomonadati; Pseudomonadota; Gammaproteobacteria; Alteromonadales; Alteromonadaceae
Description: bacterial SSU rRNA
Rfam family: Bacterial small subunit ribosomal RNA
Source: RNAcentral